AAAGUACUAGUUAAAUUAUAACAUUAAAUUGUCAAAUUAAAAUUACUAAAAGUGUACUUUA
RNAcentral lists this transfer RNA (61 nucleotides) under Gammarus pisinnus. Its description in RNAcentral is "tRNA-Asp". The record is from RNAcentral. Lineage: Eukaryota; Metazoa; Arthropoda; Malacostraca; Amphipoda; Gammaridae.